Molecule: long non-coding RNA, 228 nt
Filed under: Hordeum vulgare
Lineage: Eukaryota; Viridiplantae; Streptophyta; Magnoliopsida; Poales; Poaceae
Description: long non-coding RNA (HVUL_LNC010299)
Source: RNAcentral
UUCCUGUUUUUUCCGUGUUUUUGACCCUUUUCAGAGGAGGAUUUUAAACAUUGCCCAAACGGAAUAAAAUUUCUGAAAAGAUUUUUUCCGGAACAGAAGAUACGCACGAGACUUGAGAACCAAGGCAGGGGCCACCAGGGGACCCCACAAACCCCCUAGGCGUGGCCAGGGGGGCGCGCCUAGCAGGCUUGUGGGCCCCCUGUGGCUCGUCUGCCCUACCUCUUCCGC